GCAGUAGAAGAGAAGCACCAGACUGGGUUACAGAUCUGCUUUGCAAGAGUUAUGAAGAACCUUGGUCACGUUAGAGAAGACUAUGGCAAUGCCGGAGACUAUGGUCGCUCGUCCCUGAAGAUGUGAAGGGAAAAUCAACAAAGGAAUAGCUUCCGUUGAUGGAGGUGACAUAGCACGGGUUCUGCAAGGCGUCAAAGGCUGAAGGUUUCAACUUCAAGAGAUCACGGUCUGAACCUCAAGCCUCUCCUCACGGUAAUUGCUUUCUCGUCUUACAAAAAAAAAGAGCUUGUCAAUUGAUAUAUCAAGAAGAACGGGUUUGUUGGUCAUUGUCUGAUUGGUGCUUUGUAGCUGGUUUUAUCUACGUGAUUGGGAUGGCGUUGCUUAGUCUUGGUUUCGGUCUGAACAGAAAUAAGUUAGUACAAGUCUCUGGUUUUACCGAGUGCACACAAGGUGCUCGCUGAAAUCUCAAAGAGAAAGUCUGAUUGUUUAGAAGCAGAGUUUUGAUGGUAUAUUGAUGGGAAUCAGAGAGUUAAUAGGAUGGUUUAGUAAGUGUGGAAAGAGAGUUUUGCUUCUUCAUGAGACAUAGUAAGGAAUAGGUUAAGUAAGCCUAGAGUCAUAGUGAGACAAAAAGGUCACAAUUAUACCUCUGAGUGAGAUCCACUAAGUUCUCCAAGUUCAAAAGAAACCUCUCAGUGAAGCCAUGUGAUACUCUCCAAGUAUAGGCCUGAAUAGAUCUCACACUUAGUUUGUUUUCCAUGAAGAAGAAGAG
This 769-nucleotide long non-coding RNA is filed under the name Brassica napus (rape). RNAcentral describes it as "long non-coding RNA (BNAP_LNC018381)". The record is from RNAcentral. Lineage: Eukaryota; Viridiplantae; Streptophyta; Magnoliopsida; Brassicales; Brassicaceae.